GCCAGCAGCCAUAUCACUCUGCAACUCCUAGCUGGCAGCCCACUGAAGCUCAGCAGGUGUGAGCCUGGUCAGUACCUGGAGGGGAGACUCCUGGGAAAGCUAAGGUUGCUGCUGGAA
This 117-nucleotide ribosomal RNA is filed under the name Lepisosteus oculatus (spotted gar). The record is from RNAcentral. Lineage: Eukaryota; Metazoa; Chordata; Actinopteri; Semionotiformes; Lepisosteidae.